UAUAUUUUGUAUGUAAUUUUUUGAAAAUUAUGGGGGUAUAUAGUUAGUACCAAAUGCAUUGGGCUACA
This 68-nucleotide transfer RNA is filed under the name Platycorynus sp. N26. Its description in RNAcentral is "tRNA-Gln". The record is from RNAcentral. Lineage: Eukaryota; Metazoa; Arthropoda; Insecta; Coleoptera; Chrysomelidae.